AGGAUGAACGCUGGCGGCGUGCCUAAGACAUGCAAGUCGAGUGGGUUUAGACCCACGGCGAACGGGUGAGUAAUACCUAGGAACUUUCUUUAAGUGGAGCAUAACCCAUAGAAAUGUGGGACAAUCCUCCAUGUGGCAGUAAUGCUAAAGUCGCAAGACGCUUAAAGUGAGGCCUGGGCACCAUCAGCUAGUUGGUAAGGUAAUGGCUUACCAAGGCUAUGACGGUUAGGGGUCCCGAGAGGGAUAACCCCCACACUGGAACUGCGACACGGUCCAGACUCCUACGGGAGGCAGCAGUUUGGAAUUUUGGACAAUGGGCGAAAGCCUGAUCCAGCGACGCCGCGUGGACGAUGAAGGCCUUCGGGUCGUAAAGUCCUUUUGCUCGGGAACAAUAUUUUGAGCGUACCGAGAGAAUAAGAGGUUGCUAACUCUGUGCCAGCAGCCGC
Molecule: ribosomal RNA, 446 nt
Filed under: uncultured bacterium
Lineage: Bacteria
Description: SSU rRNA
Rfam family: Bacterial small subunit ribosomal RNA
Source: RNAcentral